AGCAUUUCAAUCAUACACACAAUAUGCUCAAUAUGUGAAAUACAACAUGGCAUCACAACAAGACUCUACGACUCAAAGUAUUUAUUCAUUAGGCUCCGAGGAGCGAGAUAUUACAAACAUGGGUCUCAUGACCCAACAUUUAGAGCAUACAAGCAACAAGCACAUGCGGAAGCUUAACUUGUCUGAGUACAGACAACUACAAAUGAAGAAGGCUCAGAAGCCUGACUAUCUACAAGACCCUCCCAAGGUACAAGAUCGUAGUUGAGGUAACAAGCUAAGCGUCGAAGUCCACGUGGAACUACUAGCGAUAUUGACGUCUCUCUGCAAAAACAUAAAUUAAGCAAACGUGAGUACAAAUGUACUCAGCAAGACUUACAUCAGAGCUAACUACAUAUGCAUCAUUAUCAACAAAGGGAUGGUGGAGUUUAACUACAGCAAGCCAGCUUUGACUCGGUGGCUAUCUGAACUACGACUGCAAGUAACCCUUUUGAGGUGGUGCACACGAGUCCACAAAUUCACCAUACCAAUACACCACUAUGGAUCCGCUCCCGUCUCCCUACGAGAACGCCAUCCAUAGCACUCACGCUUAUCUUGCGCAUUUUAGAUUAUCCACUUUCACUUGUCUAUGAACUAUGCAAGGGGUCCAAGUUUCCAUAUCCGAGGAAUCCGGCUAUUCGAAUAGAUAAUGAUAACCCUGCAGGGGUGUACUUCUUCACACACGCUCUCGCCACUUAUCGCCCUGUACAUGUCAUGUACCUCGGCAACCUUCAAGCGGAAGCCGGGCGAGGGAGUCGGCCACGACCUGACUAAUCACACAAGUCUCUCGUCCAGGUUUAUCGCCUAUUCGGGUUCCAUCCGCAAGGAGAUCCGGCUGGGGUGUCGCUCACGGCCCCAAACGAUGUGUACAGGGUUCCCAAGCCCACCAUCCGGGUGCCACUUGGUACAUCGGGCCACUGUGCCUAGUCUGUCCCAAGCCCACCUGUACCGGGUGCCACUUGGUAGACUACUAACACUACCUACAAACACCAGAAACUAGUUGCAACUCCUAGACAGAGAUCGAGUGGAUUAAUAAGUCGAGAGGGGUCGAGUUACUGGAACCCAAUGUGUGGUAGUAACUGUUCAUGGAUCACAAACACAGAACUCAGUUCCUAAGAACGGCUGCAAUGAGACAACCCACCAUGUACUCCUACAUGGCCUCUCACCGCUACCUUUACCAAAUCGGGUUCACACACUUAGCUCUCAACGGUAGGACAUGUUCACCACAUUCCAAUUCAUCCCCGAUGAAUCAUACCUGACUCAACUCUAAGAAGUAGCAGGCAUGACAAACAAACAUAAAUGAGUAGGCACAUCAGGGCUCAAACAACUCCUACUCAUGCUAGUGGGUUUCAUCUAUUUAAUGUGGCAAUGACAGGUCAUGCAGAGGAAAGGGGUUUAGCUACCGCAGCAUGUAACAGUUGAAACGUUGUUGUCCUAAUGCAGUAAAAGAGAGCGGGAGCGAGAGAGUGGGAUUGUAUCAGAAUGAACAAGGGGGUUUUGCUUGCCUGGCACUUCUGAAGAUAUUAUAGCUCUUCAUCGGUGUCAUCGAUCACAGCGUCGGAGCAGCGUCUACCGAGAGGGGACAAUUACCGGCAAACAAGGAAGAGCACAAUCAAUGCAAUGCACAAUAUGAUGCAUGAUCAUGACAUGACAAUAUGUUGUGAUUUGAGCUAAUGCAACUAGUAACAUAAAGGUUUGGAUUGAUUUGAACUCAAGGUUCAAAUUCAAAUUCAAACUAUGAAUUCAAAUAGUGCAUUAUCAUGUUUUGGACUAAACAGUGAGGUUAAGUUGUUCAAACAUGCAUGAAAAUGGUACAAAUGGAUAGAUUGAAUUUUUCUGAUGAUUUUUCAUAUAUAAAUUAUUUCAUUUGGAGUUACGGUUGAAUUUAUAUGAAUUUUUGAAGUCUAUACUAUUUUCUGGAAUUUCUAAUUAUUUUCUGAUUUAUUUUAAUUCCACAAAAAGCUUUACUGCGUCAGCACUACGUCAAGGUGAUGUCAGCAGGUCAACUAGACGGGUCCUGGUAAAACCUGACUAGUGGGGUCCACUGGUCAGUGACACAAUGCUGUCCAGGGUCAAUGACAGGUGGGUCCGGUCAACGGCCACGUCAGCAAGGUCAACCUGACAUGUGGGCCCAGUGGAUUAGUCUAAGUUAAACAGGGAAUAAAAACCGGGGAUUAAUUAGGGUGUGGGGCCCUUCCGUCAGUGGCACAAGGUUAAGCUAACCGCGGGGUUAGUGGCUAAACUAACCUGCCACGUCACCUAACCGGCGUUUAACCGCCGGCGCUAACAGAACACGGCGGCGAUCGCCGGCCAGCCGUUUCCGGCCACGGCUGGACGCACCGAGGGUACCGGAGGCAAGCUCGUGCUCUCCCGCAUCCAGGGGAGGUCUCAGGAGGUCGCGGGGUGGCCUGGUUCAUCGACGGCGAGCAUUUGGGCGGCAGCCAGAGUUCGGUGUGCGAGCGAGCACGGCUAUAGGGCGCUAGUGGCUAACCAAAGGGGUCCUCUGGACUCCUGGCAUCUUCAGGAACACGACCAUGCGCUCGGGCGCGUCUAAUGCAUGCUAGAUCGAUGGCGGCGACGAGGGCGCCGGCGGUGAGCUCACGGAUGCGGCGAGGCUACCAGCUAGAGGACGCAACCAACGACGGAAGUAGGGGGAAAAGAUGGGCGGCCUCACAGCGGUUGCAGCACGCGUCUCGGUGGGCUCGGGGAAGGUCGGACGAUGCCGGGACAACGAGGCGAAUCUUCGGCGGCCGAAGAAGGGGAUGACGGCGAUGGCGGCGUUACGGGGCGCUCCGACUGGCUUCCUUCUAUGGAGAUGCGUAGCGCGAGGUGGCGGAGCUGCUGGGCAUCCUAGCUAGGCGCGGGGGGCUUGGUGGCCACGGCAACGGCGAGCGGCGUCGACGACGGCUCUCUGUUCGGGCGAAGAACGAAGAGGAAGAGGGGGGAAAUGGCCAGGGAAGAAGGGGGGGUCAGCACGGCCUCGUCCACGUCUCCUGGGCGCGGGGUUGGGGGGAAGGAGGCAUCGACACGGUGAAGCAGGAGGUGGCUGGGGCGCGCCUGCGUGCAUCGGCCACGUGCGCCCGUCCCUCCGGCAAGAGGAAGACGACAGGAGGAGGUGGGCUAGGCCAGGUGGCUAGGCGGGCCGACUGGGCCGGCUAGGUGGGCUGCAGGUGAGACCAGGUGAGUCCUUCUCUCUCUCUCCUUUUUUAUGUUUUCUAUUUUCUGUCUUUGUUUUUUGGAUUUAGUAAAAUACUAAACCGCUUUAUAAAAUCCUGAAAUAAAUUGUGGGCACAUACUGGAUUAUUCCCAACAGCCCUCAACUACUUUUCAGAAUUAUUAGAGCAUUUAAAAUAUUUAUAGAAUUUAAAUGCCCCAAUUCAGAUACAAUAUGAGUUAAUUCAAAAAUCCAUAAAUGGCCAAGAAAUAUGCUCAUCAUUUUUGGCAGAGGUUUUCACCUUUAUCAAAGUCAUGAACAUUUCCAAAGGCAUUUUGGGUUCAUUGAAGAUUAUUUUAGGUUGAACCUAUUUGAUCUGGUGCUAGGGUUUGAACAAUCCCCAUUUCAAGUUUAAAAGAAAUUUAGACAUGAUGCAGCAACCAAGCUAGUCCAAGCGCAUGGCAAACCAAAGCCAUAUGCCAGCCACCGCCCUCUAAACUAUCCCCAUCACUUGGCCCUUCGCGGUCUGGGGGCUUGACAUGGUUGGACCCCUUAAAGGCGGAACCCACAAGCAAAAAUACUUACUGGUCAUGGUGGAUAAGUUCACCAAAUGGAUAGAAGCCAAGCCUGCUAAGACGGCCGAAUCCGGAUCGGUGAUAGACUUUAUAUCCGGGGUUGUACACCGUUACGGCGUCCCCCACAGCAUCAUCACUGAUAACGGCACGAACUUUACGGCCGACGAGGUAAAACUCUGGUACAAAAACAUGGGCAUCAAGCUCGAUUAUGCUUCCAUCUAUCACCCACAAACUAACGGCCAGGUCAAACGUGCAAAUGGUCUUAUCAUGAGCGGCAUCAAACCCAGAUUAGUGCGGUCCCUCAAAGAAUCUAACACGCACUGGGUAGAGGAGCUCGACUCCAUACUCUGGGGGCUGCGGACCACGCCGAAUCGCACCACCGGAUACACACCAUUCUUUAUGGUGUACGGCGCAGAGGCAGUUUUGCCUUGCGACAUAAUUCAUGACUCACCUCGAGUGCGCAUGUACGAAGAAAGAGAAGCCGAGCUCGAUCGGCAGGACAGUUUGGACGCAUUGGAGGAGGAGCGUGACAUGUCAAAAGUCCGUUCCGCAUUCUAUCAACAGUAGGCUCAAAGAUACCAAAGCAGAGAAGUACGGGCCAAAAAUUACAACGUUGGCGAAUUAGUUCUAUGCCUGCCGGACAAGAAAAAGGACAAACUCAAGCCCAAGUGGGAAGGUCCCUUCAUAAUUGACCAAGUCCUGACUGGUGGAGCGUACCGCCUGCGAGAUGCAUCGGAUAACCGACUCGAGCCGAACCCAUGGAACACAGCCCGUCUCCGAAGAUUCUAUGCCUAGCGCUGGACUCUGUGUUCGUCUCCUUCCUUUGUCCAUUUUUUAUAUUGUCUGUCUUACAUUUCUCUCCUUCUCCCCUUCCUUUCUCUUAUAGCCUUUAAAGGCUCAUCAAAUGACGUGAUAUUCGCAUUCAUUAAACCUGGGGGCUUCUUUUAACAGAAGCUUAUUUAUACGGGCUUCAUGCCCAACACAUGUGUUACACUUCCGCAUGUACCUUUUAUUUCACCAUUAUAUGCAUCGAUAUGACUUAAGUUUUGGCCAAGCUGGGUUGCCUGGCUCCUGUGCUUACCCCUAUGUUCCCGAUUAUUCGGCUAGGCGGUAAAGGGAGCACCUCUGCGAUUGUUACUGCCGGAUCAGCCGGAUGUGUACCUCAGACUGGGUGAAGCCGAAAGCUAGCGUUCUUAAGGGAAUAUUCGGUCGGUGACCUAAAAGAUGAUCUUUUCACUUAUUUAUUUAUGCGCCCCCAGAUGCUUUUUCCCGCCUCUUUUUCGCAGAAUGGGCAUGCACUUUAGGGCAUGCCUCCCAGGGAAAGGAACCCCUAACGGAACUAUUCUCCCUGGAAGAUGUUUCUUACUAACCAUGUAAUAUAACAUAACUAGUCGGGCACUUGUCUGUUCACGCACUAAUGACCCCUACGCCUGGUCUCCAUGCAUUCCCCGGCUCUUAUAUAAUCGCAUGGGAAUUCGGACACACUCCGGACCGUCAGGUCCCGAGGCUGAAGCGAAAAGGUCGGCCAUGACAAACGAUCUACAAUCCGGCUAGAAGGCAUUAUAAAUGUCAAUUAAAUUACAUAGUCAUUCUGACUGAUUGUAUUCUUCUUCAAUACCAUCUAACAGGCUGUCUAAUUUACAGUCCUGCUGGGAAUACUUUGCGACCAAUUCUACUUGGCCGUAUACUAAGCUUACAGGGAUCUCCUUCCCAUUGGGCCCCACAGGACCGACCUCGGCCAUGUGGUUGGGGUCAGCCUUUGUGUACCGCAUCUUCACCAUGGCCCAGGCCUCCCUAGCGCCUUGACGGCAUGCCGAUAUCUUCCACAAUCAGAAGCGCCACCGUGCUCCCUUUAACUUCUCCGCAAGCUCUCCAAGACCUUCGGGCAUGGAGAUGGAUGGCCACAAGGCAUGGGCGACGCCUUGCAUCGCCUGCCGAACUCGCUCGAGCAGUUGCGAGAGCUCGGGAAGGAGGUCACCCGUAGAACCGGGCAUCUCCUCUGCAGGACGACCUGUUAGCACACCUACAGACAUUACUCUGUUAGUCGACUUCCCCGCCGAACUUUUUUCAAAGGUUCGUUCAAGCACUUACUAAAUAUGCCGCGCCGAAGCCGCUGAUUCUCCUUAACGGAGUCUGACAGCUGGGCACGAACAUCUUUCAGGUUGACGCCCAGCUUGGUGUUGGCAUCUUGGAGAUCGUUCUUCUCCCGCCUCACCUUUGUCAACACCUUCUCACCAGCCUUCAGCUGGCGUAGGAGUUGUUGCCUUUCCAGAUUCAAUCCGGCGCCAUCUGCAAUUUCAUUUGUCAGAUUCGCACCCAUGCCGUGCUUCGCAAAAUACUUAUCUUUCGAAGUGUAUAUUACCAGAGGGGGUCUCCUUGGACUCCCCUGCCGCGGCUAGUGCGGCCUCAAGUUGGGCUUUGCACUCUUCCAGCUCCUGGGACAGUAGGGAAUUCUUUUCUGUAAGAACCUGCAUAACAAAUGAUCCUUAAAUCAGUUAUUCUAACUGUUUCAAGUCUCGGGGGCUACUGGUAUAUAUAUAUAUAAUUACCAAAAUUUUCUUACUCGUAUGUCUUUUACAUAUUGCUCCGUGGCUCUGGCUAGACCAUUUUGAGCGGCACGGAGGUACGCAUCUCCCAAAUUGAAGGCAUCUAAUGCCUCUUGGGAGAAACAAGCGUCGCGAAGAAUUGUCCGGCGACGCCUGUGGUUCAUGGCACUCUCCAUCUCAGAGUUGGUGGCAGACAAUCUGUCCACAUCCUCCGUCGGAGGAGCGUCCGGUGCGCGCCUUGUGUUCGCCUCCGCCUCCGGACCAGGCUUUGGAGCCUGGCUGGUGGAGGCGCGAUUGGCAGCCUCUCCGGAUAUAGUCCGGCGAGGUCUCUUUGUCCUGAAGAGAGCACGAGUGUUAAUAUGCCUUGAAGGUAUAACACCUGGGAUAAGGGGGCGCGCCAUACCUUUGCACUGACGCCUCGGUCCGGACUGCACCUCUUUUCUGCCCACGGGGCCCUGCAGCCCCUCGUUGGCUUGUCGCCGCAGGUUCGGCCUCCCGUCUCAAAAACCUCCCCUGCAAAGCUCGGUUGUAAUCAGGAAACUGAAAACACGAGAGGGCGGACCCCUAUUCGGGGUACUGGGACUUCGAUCUCAGUUACCUGGGAGGCCGGGAUUAGCCCUGGGUAAUCGGCCGUAAUGGCCACCAAGGCAUUGUCCUUGCUCAAUUGAUGGAACACUUCAUCAAUCAGCUCCACAGAUAAGUCUGGAUCCUCUUGAGAGGCCGGGUCGAGGGACCGUCCUGGGUCCUCGGGUUGUGGAGGAGGGCUGUUUAUUUCUUUAACAGUCUGGCGUAGUUCCUGCGUUGAAGUCGUUAGACUGAAUAUUUAACAAUGGGAAUAUAAAACGGAUGGGCAAGUAAAUGUGACCACUUACCCAGCUUGGGGGAUUGUACAUAGAAAAUCCACCCUGUGGGUCGACACAGAGAAAUUCCUCCUCUUCUCCCUUGUACAAAGCGGACAAGGUCUUUGUUAGAGCCGCAGCCGAAUCCGGCCCCUUACGGCCGUAGCGGGUGGCGUCGUCCUCCCCGUUGAAGUCCCACAUAGGGUGGCCUCUAUACUGUAGCGACUGCACCCCUCGCAUGAUGCAUGCGGCCAUGACCCCGAUCAUGGUCAGUCCGAAAUGAGCUAACAAUCUUAUCCGGCCCAUGAGGUAAGAACGUCCUUGUCAUUUUCCCUCUGAGGGCUCCGUGGACGCCAACUUAGGCGCUUCUUUAGUGGAGCACUGUCGAACUCAGGGAGGCCGAUCCGGACAGGAUCCGGCAGCGGGACGUCUUCUAUGUAAAACCAUUCCGAAGGCCAGUCCUCGGACGCCUUCUUUGGGGUUCCGGAUAGAUAUCCGGUCCCGACGAUGCGCCACACUUCGGCUCCGCCCACUUAAUAUAUUAACCCCUUCUGAGAACGGGGCACAAGGCAGAAUAGCUCUUUCCACAGCCCGAAAUGAGCCUCAACACCCAAAAACAGCUCGCAGAGGGCUAUGAAGCCCGCGAUAUGCAAUACGGAGGCAGGCGUAAGAUUGUGUAGCUGGAGGCCAUAGAACUCCAGGAGCCCCCAGAGAAACGGAUGGAUUGGAAAUCCGAGCCCUCUUAUUAAAUAAGGGACAAGGCAUGCCCACUCUCCUUUGGAGGGAUUAGGGGCACUCUUCGCUUGCUCUCUGCCAUUAUAGAUGGCAAGACCGGCUCGAACCGGGACCAUAUAGGCCGGGGGGAGAAAUCCUUGGUCUGGAGCGUCACUAGCUCGCUAUGCGGGAUGGAGCAUCUCUCCCAAUAUCCAGGCUGAGGGCUGGAAAGGCGAAAGGAGGAGUUGCGAUGGCUGGCCAUGGUGGAAUGGACCUUUGCCGGAUGCGCUCUGAUGAACACUCGCGAAGGGGAGAAGGUGUGGUUUGGAUCUAAAUCAUCGUCUCCUUAAAUGGGCGGCUCAUUUACGCGGAUAGGGGUGUGGAUGUAAAAACACUCAGACUUUUCAUAUUCGUUUGACACGUGGGAGACGGCCAUUAUUGGGCGUAGAAGCCAAGGAGCGCAACAUUUAAAAGAAACCGGACUUUAUUCAACAGGUACACGGAAUUUGGAGGAGAACCCGCCUUGCAAUGCCGAAGACAAUCUGCGCGCCGGACUCAUUGUCAUUGAAACCUGGUUUGGGGGCUACUGAGGGAGUCCUGGAUUAGGGGGUGUUCGGAUAGCCGGACUAUACCUUCAGCCGGACUAUACCUUCAGCCGGACUCCUGGACUAUGAAGAUACAAGAUUGAAGACUUCAUCCCGUGUCCGGAAGGGACUUUCCUUGGCGUGGAAGGCAAGCUUGGCGAUACGGAUAUGUAGAUCUCCUACCAUUGUAACCGACUCUAUGUAACCCUAACCCUCUCCGGUGUCUAUAUAAACCGGAGGGUUUUAGUCCGUAGGGGACAACAAUCAUACCAUAGGCUAGCUUCUAGGGUUUAGCCUCUCUGAUCUCGUGGUAGAUCUACUCUUGUACUACCCAUAUCAUCAAUAUUAAUGAAGCAGGACGUAGGGUUUUACCUCCAUCAAGAGGGCCCGAACCUGGGUAAAACUUCGUGUCCCUUGCCUCCUGUUACCAUCCGGCCUAGACGCACAGUUCGGGGCCCCUACCCGAGAUCUGCUGGGUUUGACACCGACAAUGACCGAAUAGCUACACUACACGGUUAACAUCAUAAGUGCUGAUGAGGUCUCACUCUCGGCACUCGAUAGUAACCCAGUAGUGUCGAGCAACUAAGGGGAAAGUGAUGUGCGGUGCCGGGGCCUAGUCUUCGAUCCUGUUUAUCGAGUCUUCGAUGAUGAAACAGGGGCAACAAGGACAAGGUGGGGAUCACUCAUGGAUCACUAACCAACCUAUACUAAGCAGUUUAGGAUAAGCAGGUAAGGUACAAUGAGCAGGUUACAAAAACAGGCUAUGCAUCAAAAUAGGAGCAAACAAUAACAGUAGCAAAAUCUAAUGCAAGCAUGAGAGAAUAGAAUGGGCGAUAUCGGGAUGAUCAAAGAGGGGGUUGCCUGGAAGCUCCGCUGAAAGGGAAGAAGGGUCGUCGACGACAUAGUCGAUCACAGCAGCAUCAACAACGGUCUCGGGGU
RNAcentral lists this long non-coding RNA (9387 nucleotides) under Triticum aestivum (bread wheat). RNAcentral's name for it is "long non-coding RNA (TAES_LNC005226)". Lineage: Eukaryota; Viridiplantae; Streptophyta; Magnoliopsida; Poales; Poaceae. The record is from RNAcentral.